GGGGGGAACCUAUUCUUAUAUACUUAAGACCUUAUCAACUUAACAACUCACCCACAAUUCAUCAUUUUAACACUGGUCAUCAUAUACACAUAUACCUCACAAUUACCACUUAAAUAUUUCAUAAAUUAUCAACCUAGGUUGUUUCACACAUCCUAUCAAGACUGCUAAUUAAUUCCAACAAAACAUGUAUCAAUAACCUUAAGCUACUACUCUUACCACCAUAUUCUACAUCUAAAGUUCAAGCCUAUAGUCUAGCAACAAUCACAUACCACUAGUGAAGCCUGCAACAUAUUAUAUUAGUCCAUUAAAUUGCGAAAUCAACUCAAAAUACUAAUCUCAUUUAACUACUACCUACAAUCGCAAUCCCUC
This 369-nucleotide long non-coding RNA is filed under the name Capsicum annuum. RNAcentral's name for it is "long non-coding RNA (CANN_LNC018553)". Lineage: Eukaryota; Viridiplantae; Streptophyta; Magnoliopsida; Solanales; Solanaceae. The record is from RNAcentral.